CCUACGGGAGGCAGCAGUGGGGGAUAUUGCACAAUGGGGGGAACCCUGAUGCAGCGACGCCGCGUGAGGGAAGACGGCCUUCGGGUUGUUAACCUCUGUCGCAGGGGACGAAGGAGAUGACGGUACCCUGUGAGGAAGCCACGGCAAACUACGUGCCAGCAGUCGCGGCAAUACGGAGGCGGCGGGCGUUGUCCGGAAUUACUGGGUGUAAAGGGAGCGUAGGCGGGAUAGUAAGUGGAAUGUAUAAACUACCGGCUUAACCGAUAGAAGCGUUCAAAACUGAUAUUCUUGAGUGAGCUAGAAGCAUGCGGAAUUCGUGGUGUAGCGGUGAAAUGCGUAGAUAUGAGGAAGAACACCGGUGGCGAAGGCGGCCUGCUGGGCUUUAACUGACGCUGAGGCUCGAAAGCGUGGGUAGCGAACAGGAUUAGAUACCCGAGUAGUC
RNAcentral lists this ribosomal RNA (442 nucleotides) under uncultured bacterium. RNAcentral's name for it is "partial 16S ribosomal RNA". It matches the Rfam family "Bacterial small subunit ribosomal RNA", at positions 338 to 795 of the family's 1533-position model. The record is from RNAcentral.